Non-coding RNA from Microcebus murinus (gray mouse lemur), 1412 nucleotides. NCBI's taxonomy places the organism in Eukaryota, Metazoa, Chordata, Mammalia, Primates, Cheirogaleidae. The record is from RefSeq and is a predicted model, not a curated record.
GGCAGCACAAGAGGCCGUGGCUGAACAGGUGAAGUCAGGCAGCAGCCCAGCUAAAGUUCUGGGCACUGAGUCCAUUUGCAGCAUAGCCACGGACUCUGCAGAUUGGGGUUUAGGGAGCUGGAUGCGGCCAUAAAGGAGGGGGGCUGGCAAGAGUGAGGCUGAGGGUCAGAAGCACAGCUGGGAAGAGUGGGGUUUGGUGCAGAGUUUUAGGCCAGGAAGGAGCUAGACUGUGGCAGGGGGUUUCAGGUCCAUGAGAGUGGGGAGCAUGACAGGUCAUGGAGACCUGUGGUCCCCUGAGCCGAGGUCACACAAUGACCACCAUGUGAGGCUUUAGUCACGCAGUCCUCUUUCCUAAUUUGUGGAGGCUCCUGUAAGGGAAUUGCUACUGAAGCAAAAGAAUGAUCAGAGCGACACAGAUAAACAUCCACUCCUGGGGCCUCGAGGAGCUGAGCUGGGCUGGCUCUGAGAGGGCCCAGCUCCUUAGGGGCCAUCAGGAAUCCAUAUCGGGUCUUGACGUCCAGGAAAGUGAAGGGAAUGGAGAAGGCUUUUGCACUUGAACAUCUUGCUCACAGAUAACAGGGCCAAAGGGACAUUUGCAAGCUCUGAAGCCUGGUGCGCUUCAGUUACUCUCUGCUAGAGGAACACCACGGGCUUAGCUUAGUGGAAGGCAGUCUCAGGCCAGACAGGAGGGAACAGGACUCCCCCCACACCGUCUGGGCUGCCGCCCCACCGAGACUGCCAGGCCUGCUCCCCAGGGUAGCCGAGGACUCAGGGGUCAGAAGACCCACUGCCAAGUUCAAACAACCGUGCUCUUCUUCCCUGACACACCACACGAUAAAUCCAUCUUGGAACCGAGAGUCACUUGUUCCCCUCCGACUCCCUUUCUCCUGAGUCCACAGAAGCCACAUGCUGGGAUGAAAUUAGCUCAGCUCUGGGCUCUGAUAGGUCAAACGAGCUGUCCGUUAUAUUCCAAAUUGCCUCAGGUUGUUUCAACAGAGCUCAUCACAAUGGGACAUAGAACACUUACCUGAGCAACACCAGGGCAGGCAAGAGCUCCUACAGAAACUGAAGACAGAAGGAACUUGUGCAUGGUCUGCCUCCCACACAAAGACGUUGCACGUGUGGAUUAUUGGCCGUCCAGUAAAUGUACUUAAAGACGGAAGUUAUUUCCAUUGACUGGUUCGGUAUGAGCAGUUAGGUCCCAGUGACCUAAAAAUGUCCAAAUGGAAUACUCAGCGAACUCUCUGACCUCAUAUCUCAGUCUAACAGUUCUGCAUCUCUACGUGGAUCUCUCUUUAACCAAAUGCAGAUCCCUUUGAGACCGAAAGUGUCACAGGGAGCCCUACAGCCCUCUGUCCGCGUGUGAAACAUUACUCAGUAUCAAAUUGAAAAGAAUCAACUUGGUUGCUUCA